UACGUAGGUGGCGAGCGUUAUCCGGAAUUAUUGGGCGUAAAGCGCGCGCAGGCGGCUUCUUAAGUCUGAUGUGAAAGCCCACGGCUCAACCGUGGAGGGUCAUUGGGAACUGGGAAACUUGAGUGCAGAAGAGGAAAGCGGAAUUCCACGUGUAGCGGUGAAAUGCGUAGAGAUGUGGAGGAACACCAGUGGCGAAGGCGGCUUUCUGGUCUGUAACUGACGCUGAGGCGCGAAAGCUAGGGGAGCAAACGGG
This 253-nucleotide ribosomal RNA is filed under the name uncultured prokaryote. RNAcentral's name for it is "partial 16S ribosomal RNA". It matches the Rfam family "Bacterial small subunit ribosomal RNA", at positions 524 to 776 of the family's 1533-position model. The record is from RNAcentral.